This 918-nucleotide long non-coding RNA is filed under the name Populus tremula. Its description in RNAcentral is "long non-coding RNA (PTRE_LNC003143)". Lineage: Eukaryota; Viridiplantae; Streptophyta; Magnoliopsida; Malpighiales; Salicaceae. The record is from RNAcentral.
UACCUUGCUACAAAAUAGCAUCUUCAAUCAUUUUUCUCCUCUUUUCUUUUUGUUUUUUUUUUCGUCUCUCCUUGGAUUUUACAACUAAUUUUUCUAUUCUUUUCUUAUGGGAUACAUUUUUUUUCAUAAUUGUUAAUUGCGGUCUCUCUAGUUUUAAUCUCUUAGAAAACGGAAAAUCCGAGCAAUUUUUCACACGAUCAAGCGAAAGCUCAACAAUGGGAGGUUUCCCUGGCAACACGAGAAAACUGAAAUAAUAUAUCAAGGCCAAUUGCGACACAAACCGACUUGGAAGGACCAAACUGAAAAAAACAAACAAUUGCACUGUGUGAAUCAACAGUGCAAUAAGUUUAGAGCGACAACAAUUGAACAACUUAGCUUUUUGUUAAUAUUAAUUAGAAAAACCAGCCAAUUAAUCACGUGAAAUAUUAUUUGAAUUAGAUUUUAAAAACAAAGGACUAUUAAAAGGCAUAAUACAAAAAGGUAAUACCGUAACCAAUCUAAGAAUUUAAUAAUUAUGUCUAAUUAUUAAACAAAUUCCAAGAAUCUUAAUAAAAACAAUUGAAUUAUAAAAGAAACAAGAAAAAUUCUCGUGGCAGAAAUUACCAAGAAUAAUCUUCAAAGCUUUAGAAAAACACUUGAGUUUAUUAAAGAGCAUUACAUAUAUAUGAUGGGGUUCACUUACCGUCUCAUUCGUUCUUUAUCCUCCGCGUCGCUUUCUUGUUCUUUUACUGUAAAAAGAAUUGUCUUGUAGUAAUUGGCGAGCACCCAUCUUUGAGAUAUGACAAAGCUUGUCCUCUAAAAAGAAACACUACUGAAGGAACAAAGAUUGAUUUGAACAUUAAUUUACAAAAAUUAAUGUAGGGUAAUGAAUAAAUCCCCAUAUUAGGGGAAAAAAUAAAAAUCUAAUUCUCAUCUUGC